This 444-nucleotide ribosomal RNA is filed under the name uncultured bacterium. Its description in RNAcentral is "bacterial SSU rRNA". It matches the Rfam family "Bacterial small subunit ribosomal RNA", at positions 354 to 796 of the family's 1533-position model. The record is from RNAcentral.
GUAGGGAAUUUUCGGCAAUGGAGGAAACUCUGACCGAGCAACGCCGCGUGAGUGAUGAAGGUCUUCGGAUUGUAAAGCUCUGUUGUAAAGGAAGAAUGCUAUGGAUAGAAUCCAUAGGUGACGGUACUUUACCAGAAAGCCACGGCUAACUACGUGCCAGCAGCCGCGGUAAUACGUAGGUGGCGAGCGUUAUCCGGAAUUAUUGGGCGUAAAGGGUGCGCAGGCGGCCAGAUAAGUUUGGGGUGAAAGACCGGAGCUCAACUCCGGUUUGCCUUGAAAACUGUCUAGCUAGAGUGCAAGAGAGGGCAAUGGAAUUCCAUGUGUAGCGGUAAAAUGCGUAGAUAUAUGGAGGAACACCAGUGGCGAAAGCGAUUGCCUGGCUUGCAACUGACGCUCAUGCACGAAAGCGUGGGGAGCAAAUAGGAUUAGAAACCCUAGUAGUCC